GGCUGAGCCGCGGCGAGUCGGAGAAGAGAUUGGUAGUGAGAGAUGAGUUUGAGCAGUGUCUGAGGGACGCCAUUGUUGGUCCGAAGGCAAAGGAGCUUAGAGAAAACGCUUUGAAAUGGAAGAAUGCGGCGGAGAAAGCAGCGGCGGACGGCGGCUCCUCGGAGACUAACAUACAAGAGUUUGUGGACGAGAUCAGGAAGAAGUGGUCUGGUCGGAUCAGUGAAAUCCAUAGUCUAGAGGUAAAAAAUCUGGAGAAGGCUUGAAAAUUUUACUGUGAACGGU
This 282-nucleotide unclassified non-coding RNA is filed under the name Hevea brasiliensis (rubber tree). Lineage: Eukaryota; Viridiplantae; Streptophyta; Magnoliopsida; Malpighiales; Euphorbiaceae. The record is from RNAcentral.